RNAcentral lists this ribosomal RNA (703 nucleotides) under uncultured Ralstonia sp. RNAcentral describes it as "bacterial SSU rRNA". It matches the Rfam family "Bacterial small subunit ribosomal RNA", at positions 618 to 1326 of the family's 1533-position model. The record is from RNAcentral. Lineage: Bacteria; Pseudomonadati; Pseudomonadota; Betaproteobacteria; Burkholderiales; Burkholderiaceae.
GAAUUGCAUUGGUGACUGCACGGCUAGAGUGUGUCAGAGGGGGGUAGAAUUCCACGUGUAGCAGUGAAAUGCGUAGAGAUGUGGAGGAAUACCGAUGGCGAAGGCAGCCCCCUGGGAUAACACUGACGCUCAUGCACGAAAGCGUGGGGAGCAAACAGGAUUAGAUACCCCGGUAGUCCACGCCCUAAACGAUGUCAACUAGUUGUUGGGGAUUCAUUUCCUUAGUAACGUAGCUAACGCGCGAAGUUGACCGCCUGGGGAGUACGGUCGCAAGAUUAAAACUCAAAGGAAUUGACGGGGACCCGCACAAGCGGUGGAUGAUGUGGAUUAAUUCGAUGCAACGCGAAAAACCUUACCUACCCUUGACAUGCCACUAACGAAGCAGAGAUGCAUUAGGUGCUCGAAAGAGAAAGUGGACACAGGUGCUGCAUGGCUGUCGUCAGCUCGUGUCGUGAGAUGUUGGGUUAAGUCCCGCAACGAGCGCAACCCUUGUCUCUAGUUGCUACGAAAGGGCACUCUAGAGAGACUGCCGGUGACAAACCGGAGGAAGGUGGGGAUGACGUCAAGUCCUCAUGGCCCUUAUGGGUAGGGCUUCACACGUCAUACAAUGGUGCAUACAGAGGGUUGCCAAGCCGCGAGGUGGAGCUAAUCCCAGAAAAUGCAUCGUAGUCCGGAUCGUAGUCGCAACUCGACUACGUGAAGC